CAGCCGCCGCGGUAAUACAGAGGGUGCAAGCGUUAAUCGGAAUUACUGGGCGUAAAGCGCGCGUAGGUGGUUCGCCAAGUUGGAUGUGAAAUCCCCGGGCUCAACCUGGGAACUGCAUCCAAAACUGGCGAGCUAGAGUAUGGUAGAGGGUGGUGGAAUUCCCUGUGUAGCGGUGAAAUGCGUAGAUAUAGGAAGGAACAUAGUGGCGAAGGCGACCACCUGGACUGAUACUGACACUGAGGUGCGAAAGCGUGGGGAGCAAACAGGAUUAGAUACCCCCGUAGUCCCUGUCUCUUAUACA
Molecule: ribosomal RNA, 301 nt
Filed under: uncultured bacterium
Lineage: Bacteria
Description: partial 16S ribosomal RNA
Rfam family: Bacterial small subunit ribosomal RNA
Source: RNAcentral